RNAcentral lists this ribosomal RNA (427 nucleotides) under uncultured bacterium. RNAcentral's name for it is "partial 16S ribosomal RNA". It matches the Rfam family "Bacterial small subunit ribosomal RNA", at positions 355 to 774 of the family's 1533-position model. The record is from RNAcentral.
UGGGGAAUAUUGCACAAUGGGCGCAAGCCUGAUGCAGCCAUGCCGCGUGUAUGAAGAAGGCCUUCGGGUUGUAAAGUACUUUCAGCGAGGAGGAAGGCGUUGUGGUUAAUAACCGCAGCGAUUGACGUUACUCGCAGAAGAAGCACCGGCUAACUCCGUGCCAGCAGCCGCGGUAAUAAGGAGGGGGCAAGCGGUAAUCGGAAUUACUGGGUGUAAAGCGCACGCAGGCGGUCUGUCAAGUCGGAUGUGAAAUCCCCGGGCUCAACCUGGGAACUGCAUCCGAAACUGGCAGGCUAGAGUCUUGUAGAGGGGGGUAGAAUUCCAGGUGUAGCGGUGAAAUGCGUAGAGAUCUGGAGGAAUACCGGUGGCGAAGGCGGCCCCCUGGACAAAGACUGACGCUCAGGUGCGAAAGCGUGGGGAGCAAACA